This is a long non-coding RNA of Homo sapiens (human), 7342 nucleotides long. RefSeq lists it as uncharacterized. The transcript has 4 exons. The record is from RefSeq and is a predicted model, not a curated record. NCBI's taxonomy places the organism in Eukaryota, Metazoa, Chordata, Mammalia, Primates, Hominidae.
GGUUUUGCAUGAAGCAGCAGAACAUGAUGAAGCAUUUUUCCCCCAUCUAAAGAUCCAGUCGUGCUCCAGUUUGCAGAGGGCAAGGGGCUGGUUGCAGGUGGUGCUGGGAGGAUGGAGUAGAGAUGGGGUUUCACCGUGUUAACCAGGAAUGUCUCGAUCUCCUGACCUCGUGAUCCACCCGCCUCAGCCUCCCAAAGUGUUGGGAUUACAGGCGUGAGCUACCACGCCCGGCCCUAGGCUCCACAACUCUAAGAAGCUUUGGUGAGUAAACAGGCCUGAAGAGGUGAAAUCAUUUGCCAAGCACAGAACCAGGAUUCAAAACUUUGCAGUCUGGCUCUAGAAUGCCACCCCGUCCCACCUCAGGACUGGCCCUCUCCUGGGAAUUCCUUUCUCCCUCAUCCUCCAUGUCCUUUCUCUGUGGAGCCGUGUGCCCUGCCCAUAUCUAAGUACAUGUCCUGGGAUCCAGGGGAUGACAUAUACUGGAGUCCCUGGUGCCCAUGCCUUCUGACUCCUCCUAGACCAUGAGCUGAGGGGACAGAGAGUGGCUCUUGCACCUGGGGGGCUCAGGGUGUGUACAGUGGGUGAACAAAUGGGGGGACAUUUGAGGCCCAGGCAGAAGGACACAGAAUGUUCCCUGGUGGCAGCUUAGGAGGGGGCAGGGGCUGGGCAGAGGGGGCAGUUGUGUCCUUCCCUACCUGAACCUCUUCUACUCUCUGGGUCCACCGCCAUGAAAUUAUUCAUUCUGCCACAUUCUCUUGCACCCUGGCUUUCUGUCUGAAAUCCUUUCUCUGCCCCAGUAUUCACUCUCCGACUCUUCAGCUCACUCCUCUUAAUCCUUGAGACGUUCCAGGUUACCUGCUCCCUCAGGAGCUUUGCUAACCCCAAGGUUGUGAUAACUGCUUUCUUUAGGCUCCCACAGUUGCUCGUUCUAAUCCCAACACGGUAUUUGAAGGGCUAUUUAUUUCUCUCCUGACUGGACUGUUGGGAGCUUUGUAAGGGCAAGAGCCAUCUCUUAUUUAAUGUUGUAUUCCUAGGGCCUGGUACCAGAGUAUUAGUAAAGCUUGUUGAAUGAAUAAAUGCGAUUCAGCGGUGACUUCCCAUAGAUGCUACUCCAUGUUAUUCAUGUCACUGUAAUCCAUCUUGGGCUGCAUUUCACAAGCCAGCAUUGAAGAAAGCUGGGCUCAGAGAGCCUUAGAGACCAUCAGUGGUACAGAUGAGGAAACCGAGGGCAGGCCUGGUUCUCACUGCCUCGCCUCUGGUUCUGCGACUGGAGCUCCGUGAGGACAGGAACCAGGACUUGGAUGUUGUUUUCUGGCUUGGCAGGGUGCUUUGCCUGUGAUCACAGUCAUUGCCUUUUACUAGGUGCUUAUAAGGUGCCAGCCCCUUUAUGUGUUUUUCCACGUUUGCAUAUCCACAGGGAAGGGAGGUGCAAUUAUCCCCAUUUACAGAUCAACAAACAGGUGUAGGGAGGUUAAGUAAUUUGGUUAUUUAUCAGUGUCUUCUGGUUCCUUUCAUAAAUUUAUCUGGGUUCCACUGUAGCCUCACAACAUUGUCAUCAAACCCACUUUCGGCGGUGCAGUGGCUCACACCUCUAAUCCCAGCACUUUGGGCGGCCAAGCGAGAGGAUCGCUUGAGCCCAAGAGCUCGAGACCAGCCCAGGCAACACAGAAAAACCUCAUUUCUACAAAAAAUAAAAUAAAAUAAAAAUAGCUGGGUGUGGUGGCGCGCCUGUGGUCCCAGCUCCUCGGGAGGCUGAGGUGGGAGGAUCGCUUAAACCUGGAGAGGCGGAGGUUGCAGUGAGCCGAGAUCACGCCACGGCACUCCAGCCUCGGCAACAGAGCGAGACCCUGUCACAAACGAACACUCUCCAGAGGGGGAAACCGAGGCCCUGGGACUGCAGAACCGGUUUCUCUGCCUCGGCAUACUGCCUCGGCUGGCUCUGCGCUUGAUAGAAUCGCGCCAGCAACAGCGCCCCCUGCAGGCGACGGCGGGCACGCCUGCGUCACAGCCAUCCCCGCCCUUCCGCAGUGGGAACGCCCGAAUGCUUCAUCCGGCCUCGGAAGAUUGAAGAGCGCUCCUCCAAACUGGCUCAGGGAAGCCGGGCGCGCCGCCUUCAGCCCCGCCUUGGCCGCCGCGGCGUCGCAUCAGUGGCAUCCCCAGGGGCUGCAGGAAGGUAGCCGUAGCCUUGGCUGUCGUGGCUUCCCUCAUCGUAACGGCCUGGGGGCAGCGGUGCUCAAAGAACUCAGGGGGUGGGGCUCAGGUAGGGGCAUGGCCGGUGCUCUUCCUAGGGGCGGGAUCCUGGGAAAGGGGAUCGUCCCAGAAGGACCCAGCCACAAGCGAGGACACCGGUGCAUCAAGCCCUGGCGCCUGUGUUUCCGUGAACAGCGCCCUUCUCCUCCUCCCCAGACAUUGGUCCUGGCACCUGUGUGUCCGUGGGCAGCAGCCUCUUCCUCCUCCCCAGACCUCAGUUUCUGCACGUGUGAAAAGGGGGCUCUUCCAAGACUCUUACAUGAAUGCAAAAAUCGGGAUUUCGUCCAGCAUGCUCAGAAUUGUCGACCCUACACAGGCACCUGAGAAAUCAGAGCUGAGUCAGGAGAGCCGGUGUGGAUGUACUGGGAGCUCCUUCCCUUGCUGCGUCAGCACUCUUGAGACUGGAGAGCCCUGGAGGUUGGGGACCGGCCACUUGCUGGUGGACCAGACUCCCUGCAGUCUGGGAUGGUGACAGACAUGAGACAUGGCUGUGGAAGUAAUUGGUAACAGUAGUAGCCCGCAUUUAUUGAGCACUGACUAUGUGCUUGGCUUUGUGUGAAGGCCAGUCACAUGCAUUAUUUCCCCCUCCCACAGCCUUGUCUGGUGGGUACUGCUAUUCUGUCCCCAGUUUACUGAUGAGACAUUUGAGGCCCAGAGUUGCUGGGUAGUAACCAGUCCAAAGUCACCCUGCUGACAAGUAGCUGAAGCAGUAGUCCCCAGUCUUACCUACUAUACUGUACUGAGAAAGGUUUGACCUGGAAGGCAGAAUGGCAGAGGGGGAAAUGACAAGGUUCUAGCAGUAUUAAUAAUAGAUACCAUGCAUUGAGCACCCACUAAGUGCUGGGUGCUGGCCCAAGGGCAUUUCAUGAAUCAUUUAUCCUCCUGACAGUGAACCCUAUACUGUAAAUUUUAUUUCCAUUUCAAAGGUGAAGCUCGGAGAAGUCACUUUAUAUGCCUUAGGGCACAUAUAGUAAAAAACUAACUUUUCGAUUCAUUGAUGGUGCAUUCUGCCUGCCUGCAUGUCACUCUUAGGCAUAUUCCACUCUUCUCUGAGUCAAGCUUUCUCCUACUGUGAAAUGAGAGGCUUGGACUGGGAGACUUUGAAUGUUCUUUCCCCAGCCGAUGUUGUUUGAUUUUAGGGAGUUUUGACAUGAAUGUUGGAGAUCUGGAUUUGAGGAUUACAUUUGUUCCUAAUUAACUGUAAUUUAGGCACAUCUCUGCAUCUCUGGGCUUCAGUUUCCGCAUUAGUAAAAGGUAAGACUAGACCAGGCAUGUUGGCUCAUGUCUGUAAUCCCAGAACUUUGGGAGGCUGAGGAGGAAGGAGGAUUGCUUGAAGCCAGGAGUUUGAGUCCAGCCUGGGCAACAAAACAAGACCCUGUCUCUACAAUAAAAAAAAAUUAAAAAGUUCAAAUUAGCCAGGUGCAGUGGCUCAUGCUUGAAGUCCCAGCUACUUGGAGAGCUGAGGUGGGAUACUCACUUGAGCCCAGGAGUUUGAGGCUGCAGUGAGCUAUAAUCAUGCCACUGCGCUCUAUCCUGGGCAACAGAGCGAGGCCCCGUCUCUAAAAAGAAAAUGGGCUGGGCACGGUGACUCACACCUGUAAUCCUAACACUUUGGGUGGCUGAGGUGGGAGGAUCACUUGAUCCCAGGAGUUUGAGACCAGCCUGGGCAACAUGGCAAAACCCUGUCUCUACGAAAAAUACAAAAAACUGGCUAGGCAUGGUGACAUGUACCUGUGGUUCCAGCUAUCUAGCUAUCCGGGAGGUGGAGGCAGAAGGAUCACCUGAGCCCAGGAGGUUGAGACUGCAGUGAUCCAUGAUCACGCCACAGCCUUGGCAACAGAGUGAGACCCUGUCUCAAAAAAAAAGAAAAAAAAAUUACAGAGAUUAGCAUUUCCAAUCACCAGAGUGCCUUCUGGCUUGAAUAUUUUAUGACUGCAGAUGAAGAGACAACCUGAGGUUCAGCAAACUGCAUCCUCUGAGAAAGUCUAAUGAACGUAAAUCUGCUACCUUACUCAGAAUGUCCCUGGCACAAGUUUCCAAGGAUAGACCCUCUGUGUGAAGGGGAGCAGCUGCCUUUGAGCAAUCAGCAGUAACUGCUUGGGGAGGCUUAGUCCCCUAAUAGUUCAGAAGUCACCUCCAAGGUCAGACGGACCCACAGCUGAACGCCAACACUUCCACUUCUCGGAAAGCCCAACGUGUAAACUGAUGACAGACUAUCCUGGAGGAAGAGGUGGGGCAGCCUGGAGUUUUCCUCUGGACAUCCUGAGAGGGAUACUGAAGCACUCAGGAGGGGUCUUAGACCUGCCCAAGCUCACUCACACAGUUUGAGAAGAGCUGCGCUUAGACCACAGGCCUCUUGGCUCCUGGGAAGCUGAGAGCAUCGGCGUGGGAGUUCGUCAGACAGGGGCAAGUUCCAACCGCAGCUCAGUGACCUCAGACAAGCCCCCUCACCUCGCAGAACCAGGUUCUUCUUCAGAGUUGUAGGAAGGAGUGGAGGAGGGUCUCCGCAUGUCAGAUGUCCACACAGUGCCUGGGAGCUGAGGUUGUCAUGGUUACCAAGAGGCCAGUCUCAGGGCUGCUGUGAUGACCUGGGCUGCUCUCCCAUUCCCAAGAAGGGGAGAACUCCUCAGAUUCCCUACUCUGCUCUUCUUGCUCCCUCCCAAGCAAUACAUGAGCAGGAAUUUGUCCUCUGCAGGAAUGUGCAGCGAGAAAGUCUCCUUUUUUGAUGAGACAGCGAUGAGGUGAUGUCUGGUUUUUUAUAUCCUCACUUGCUGAACUGGUGCCAGAUGUAAGAGUCCAGGCUGGAUUCCAUUAGCCAUAUUUGUCCUCUGGGCUCCCAGCCCUGCAGGACCUUCUGGGGGCCCACCUUGAGACCCUCCAGUUGGUAAGAAGUUGGCUGGGGCAAAUGAUGCAGCCCUAAGACGAACCAUUUCCACUGGGGACUCAGGCAGGGUCCCUGAGAGCCUGACUUACUCGAGUCUUUUCUUUAAAAAUUAAAAAAACAAGGCUGGGCGCGGUGGCUCACGCCUGUAAUCCCAGCACUUUGGGAGGCCGAGGCGAGUGGAUCACGAGGUCAGGAGAUUGAGCCCAUCCUGGCUAACAUGGUGAAACCCCUUCUCUACUAAAAAUACAAAAAAUUAGUCGGGCAUGGUGGUGGGCACCUGUAGUCCCAGCUACUCAGGAGGCUGAGGCAGGAGAAUGGCGUGAACCCGGGAGGUGGAGGUUGCAGUGAGCCGAGAUCGCACCACUGCACUCCAGCCUGGGCAACACCGUGAGACGCCAUCUCAAAAAAAAAAAAAAAUUAACAAAACACAUUGAUCUUUUUUUUUUAUUUUUACCGAAGUAAGAAACCCUUUGAAGUUUAGGAGCUGCAACUAAUCCACGUUGAAGGCUAAUCGGAGGCCUAGAUAGGUUAAUACCUUUCCCAGAGGAACCCAGUGGUAAAUGUAAAUGUCAGAUUGAUCAAUUGUAGAUUGAACUUCAGAAGCUGGAGUCCUCAUUACUAUUCUGGGGUGAUGGUCGACUCUAUUUGCUCAACAGAAGGAUCAGUGGCCUGGAGAAUUUGAGAUAGUUGGUGAUAACAUUAUAGGAUUCUAUUUUAAAUGGGAAAGAAAUUCCUAAAAGUUAAACGCAUGUUAAAAAAAACUAUAUUAAGGCCGGGUACAGUGGCUCUUGCCUGUAAUCCCAGCACUCUGGGAAGCCGAGGUGGGAGGAUCGCUUGAGCCUAGGAGUUCCAGAUUAGCCUGGGCAACACAGUGAGACCCCAUCUCUAAAAAAAAGAACAAAAUUAGCUGGCAUGUCAUUGUGCACUUGUAGUCUCAGCUCCUUGGGAGGCUGAGGUGGGAGGAUUGCUUGAGCACAGAAGGGUGAGGCUGCAGUGAACUGUGAUCACACCACUGUGCUCCAGCCUGGGUGACAGAACAAUACCUUGUCUCAAAAAUAAAAAAAUUCAUAUACAAAAAUGCCUGAGGUAUACAAUGAAAGCUCUUGAAAGCCACUGUCUACAGAUAAGCAUUAGAGCCACUUACACAGAUUUUUUCAGAUUUUUCUAUGCAUUUAUAUGUUAAAAUUUAUAUUUUUAAAAGAUUAACACUAUACAUUCUGUUUUGCAGUUUGCUUUUGCAAAUAGCAGUAGCUCCUGAAAUGUGGAAAUUCUUUACCUGGCUGAUUCAUGACAAACUUGGUGGGAGAAGUAGCUGAUGGGGAAGGGACUCAGUCCUCGGGCUGGCCUUGAAGGAUGAGGACAAGAAUGCUGCAGUCGCCUGGCCCUGGGCAUCCUGCCCUGGCCUUGGAGAGGAGCUGCAUUCUGCAGAGCCAGAAGGAGGACAAGAGAGGCAGCCUGCCCAAGCACCAGGCUGAGCCUCUGCAGUCCCUGCCAGGAGAAGACUUACAGCCGCCGGGAGCUUGGGAAGGUUACAGAGAAAAAGCCUCUCGCAGCACUUGGGAGGACACUGCCUGCAGCACCGCGCCUGCUGUGGGCCUGCUCCAGGGUCAGGGAAGCCUCUGAGGGACAGGCUUGGGGCACAAGGGUGGGUGAGGGGCAGGGGAGAGAGUGUACUCUCUGGGCCAGGACCCCGGCACACCUAGCACACAGACCAUGGGGAGGGUGCCAAACACAGGACUUGGCUACAUUUUGUUACUGUCACUUUGAGUAUUACCUGUGCAAUCGAGCAGGCUUUAUGGAUCUCAGACUGCCCAGGACUUUUCUGGCUGCUAUGGGAGGAUGUAAGAUUUACCAAGAACACCAGCCACCACCCAGAAAGCAGGUUUCUCAUGUGAGCCCUGCGCCAAGCACUGUAUGUGCACAUGCCAGAUUUUAAUUUGCUGUGGGGAGGUGCUUUUAUACUCGCCACUUGACAGUGGCCCCCAAAAAGCCAAGAAACCUGUCCAAGGCCCAUGGGAUCAGCAGGUGUUGAUUUAAUACUGGUACCCCCAGUUGCAGAGUCCCCAGCCUCAACCAUAGGCACUCUCCUCUGCCCCCCGGGGAGGGACUGCCACCCUGACUCAGGGAUGACCUCUGCGAGAUGAGAGCAGAGGGGUUUUGUUCUGUUUCAACCUUUUUUGUUGUUUGUUUUUGAGACGGAGUUUUUGC